AUAUAUAUCACCCUUUAGAUCUUGAUUUCUUGGUCAUUUCUCAAACCCAAGGUGCAUAGCAUAUUCCCACAUUCCAUUUUGGUAGCAAUAUGCAGCCCGAAUGCAUGCAUUCAUAAUUCCAUUUGGCCAAGUCCACUUGUGUGCUACUGAACUGUCAACUAAAAACAGCUGCUCUGGUAGGUAGGGAGUUAGUAAAGAUUUUUUGUUGUUGUUGUUGUUUUUUGGUUUUUUUCCUCCUUUUUAUCAGUGUUUCCAAAGACACCACCUUGGAUGCUGAUGCAGCACAGCGCUUUCUCAAAGUAACUAUGUCCCUCCCUCUCCCCAACCCCCGGCUCUAUUGGCUAGCCGGGUUUUUCACAUAGAGCACUUGCGCGCACACCUUCCUUUCAAGAAGCCCGUUUUUUCAGUAGAAGCAGGUGUCCAGUUCUAAGCAUCCAAAGGAAUUGCAAUGAGAGCUGCCGCUGUCUAAGGCAGGCUCCCGGGAGAGCAGGCACACGCCUUACUGCCCUGAUCUCUCUGUUGGAAGGUGCACGGUGGUUCUGUUGUCCAAGCCGCUCCGAUUUCCCCCGUACCUUCUUUUAUACACGCAGACACUUGUGGGUCUAGAUCUGGAACUGUGUACUUCAACUGCAGCGCUUUUCCUCGGACAUUUAAUUGAGGAGAACGGUGGAGUUUGUAGCCUUGCCUGCCAGAUGUUGAAGGUUCACCUGUUUCGUGCUGGAUCCCUUCCCCCUUGCGGUGAUGGCAGUAGGGAAGGAAGCCUGCAGUAAGCUAUCGUUUGCAAGGAUCCAGCCUCACGCGAAAUGCCGAUUUUUUUUUUUUUAGAGGAUAAACUCAAAUGGAUUUGACUUAUUUUUUUCCCAGAUGGGAACAGCUGCUUGUAGCCUCAUUCCACCCGUCUCCUGUGAGCACCAUUCUUUUGACCUCCUUCCCCUUCUUCAAGCCAGAACAGCCUGUAAAUACAACUACUCCCACCUAGUCUUCAAGGGAAACAUGGAACUGCUUUGAAACCGGGUGCCCUUUUUUUUUCUUUUUAAGUUUGGUUCCUUUAGAAAUGCUAGCAGACGUCUCCAAGUACCACUGCCACUUUCUGCGCCCCCGCCCCUGUUCUGAUCACUCGACUUCAAAGUGUCAGCUGGAUGGGACUCGCUAGGCCUGCUCCAGCAGAGCCGUGUUUUUGAUACGUAUCCUCAUAGUCUGGAUGAACCUCCAAGUAUGGAAGUUUCUAAGUCACCUGCUGCAACCAUUUGGGGAUCUGGCUCCUUUGGCUUUAGAUCUAGUAGCUUACCACCUUGGUGUGUCUUCUCCUCUGUACAAAAUAUCACAGCUGCCAUUGAUCAACAGAUCUCGCGCUCCCGCCUUGAGAAGGUCCAUACAUUUGCCAGCAAGGCUCAUCUUUAAACCUUCAUCAGAAAUGGGUUUUAGCUCAUCUGGAGGCUUCUGAGUAUUGUAUUUUUUUCACUAGACCUUCCAUUGUGACAACUCUAUACUGUGGGAGGAGGGGACCCAAAGGAGGGAAUAUUGGAAGAAGUGAAUCUUUCACAGAGUGAAUCCUGGAUGCAGAUCGGGAGCGUUUCCCCAGCUCUGCUUUUCUUGUCUGGUAACACGUGCUCGCGAUCAGGAAAGCAGCGAGUCACGUGUGGCUCCUUGUGCUUCAGACGUCCCAGUUGGCCAAGUAGGUUGAAGGGAGCGGAAGCAACUGUGCAGUUCAUGUGCCACCUCGCACAACCCACCUUCACCCCACAUGCAAGGCAGAGAGAACGGAGCUCCGUGCCCUGCCUUUCUCUCCAUCCCUCCUUCUGCAGCAUGGAUGAGAAAUGCUGGAAGCUGUGCUGCACUUGGCUUGCCCUGGCUUCUGCUUUGCAGGUAGAUGCAUCGCAGCAUUUUGAUGCAUCAGUGCUAGCUCUGAUUAGCAAAGACCCUACCACGUCAGAGCUGUUUCACAUCACGCAGGGGGCACUGGGGUUGCGGGGGUUGCUGGUUUCUUAUCUCCCCCCUCCCCCCCGUUUAUAUAUCUAUCUUAUCUAUUUUUUUGCUUCCUUUUUGCCCAUCUUGAGUUCUGCUGGCACUUUAGCAGGCGUGCGUGUGGCAUGAGAAAUGGCCAUUAUUUUACUGACUGUAUUUGGUACAUAUUGUGUGAUACUUGAAGAGAUCCAGGGUGUUGAGCCCUCCAUUUGGAGUCUAAGCUUUUUGGGUUCGUUCUUUUCUUUUUUUCUUUUUCUUUUUUUUUUCCAACCCCCUCCUCCCCCUUUUUCUUGCAUUGUGAUGAUGUAGUGGGCAUGCCUGUCACCAUGACAAAUGCCUCUUCUAUAACUUUUCUCAAAUAGUUGUGUAUAAUUAAAGAACUGUAAACUUUUUUUAAAUAAAAUAUGUAUAUACCUUG
Long non-coding RNA from Gavialis gangeticus (Gharial), 2383 nucleotides. RefSeq lists it as uncharacterized. The transcript is spliced from 2 exons. Lineage: Eukaryota; Metazoa; Chordata; Crocodylia; Gavialidae. The record is from RefSeq and is a predicted model, not a curated record.